GACGAACGCUGGCGGCGUGCUUAACACAUGCAAGUCGAACGGAAAGGCCCUGCUUUUGUGGGGUGCUCGAGUGGCGAACGGGUGAGUAACACGUGAGUAACCUGCCCUUGACUUUGGGAUAACUUCAGGAAACUGGGGCUAAUACCGGAUAGGAGCUCCUGCUGCAUGGUGGGGGUUGGAAAGUUUCGGCGGUUGGGGAUGGACUCGGGGCUUAUCAGCUUGUUGGUGGGGUAGUGGCUUACCAAGGCUUUGACGGGUGGCCGGCCUGAGAGGGUGACCGGCCACAUUGGGACUGAGAUACGGCCCAGACUCCUACGGGAGGCAGCAGUGGGGAAUAUUGCCCAAUGGGCGGAAGCCUGAUGCAGAAACGCCGCGUGCGGGAUGACGGCCUUCGGGUUGUAAACCGCUUUCGCCUGUGACGAAGCGUGAGUGACGGUAAUGGGUAAAGAAGCACCGGCUAACUACGUG
RNAcentral lists this ribosomal RNA (468 nucleotides) under uncultured bacterium. RNAcentral's name for it is "partial 16S ribosomal RNA". It matches the Rfam family "Bacterial small subunit ribosomal RNA", at positions 28 to 507 of the family's 1533-position model. The record is from RNAcentral.